UACGUAGGUGGCAAGCGUUGUCCGGAAUUACUGGGUGUAAAGGGAGCGCAGGCGGGAAGCCAAGUCAGCUGUGAAAACUACGGGCUUAACUUGUGGACUGCAGUUGAAACUGGUUUUCUUGAGUGAAGUAGAGGUUGGCGGAAUUCCGAGUGUAGCGGUGAAAUGCGUAGAUAUUCGGAGGAACACCGGUGGCGAAGGCGGCCAACUGGGCUUUAACUGACGCUGAGGCUUGAAAGUGUGGGGAGCAAACAGG
RNAcentral lists this ribosomal RNA (253 nucleotides) under uncultured bacterium. Its description in RNAcentral is "partial 16S ribosomal RNA". It matches the Rfam family "Bacterial small subunit ribosomal RNA", at positions 524 to 776 of the family's 1533-position model. The record is from RNAcentral.